AGCUUAUCCAUGAUGUCUUUAUUACAAAAAAUGUCUGAACAUAUGAGUUCUAGUGAUUUUACAUUGUAACUGAGAUAAGCU
Anolis carolinensis (green anole) is the source of this 81-nucleotide small nucleolar RNA. NCBI's taxonomy places the organism in Eukaryota, Metazoa, Chordata, Lepidosauria, Squamata, Anolidae. The record is from Ensembl.